UGGUGGAGUGAUUUGUCUGGUUAAUUCCGAUAACGAACGAGACCUUAUCCUGCUAAAUAGCCAGGCUGGCUCUUGCCGGUCGUCGGCCUUCUUAGAGGGACUGCGGUAGCGUCUAGCCCGCGGAAGUUUGAGGCAAUAACA
This 141-nucleotide ribosomal RNA is filed under the name uncultured eukaryote. RNAcentral describes it as "partial 18S ribosomal RNA". It matches the Rfam family "Eukaryotic small subunit ribosomal RNA", at positions 1299 to 1458 of the family's 1831-position model. The record is from RNAcentral.